ACUUGCCAUGCUGGUGUUUCAGUGGGACUCAAACCCCUGUAUUCAGAGGAGCAGCAGCUCAGGUCAAACCACUCUAUCAGCAUCACAACUGCUCUGUUUAUCCCAGUUUAAGAAAACAAAGAAUGCAAUGUGCAGACAUUCUAUUGAAAAUAAAACAUUAGAGCAAGAGAAAUUGACUGGAGAUUCGCACAAGAAAUUUCUCCAAGAGCCUAGUAGCCACAUUGCUGAGGCUUCUGAACUACAGCUAAAGGACCUGGCUUCCAGAUUGAGUAAUAAUGUGCUUAAAAAUGCAUUGAACGUGAUGGCUGGUCAGAGCCAGGCAAACAAGUCUGACUGUCUCAGCAAAGACCAGACAAAUUGUAUUAAUAAAGAGAAAUCCUGUGAAUGUAAAGUUUGCCAGCCUUCAGUUAAUGGCGGGAUGUUUAAGGGAAAGACUGCAAUCCUUCAAGAAGACAAGACUGGAAAUGAGGUGGAGGGAAUGAUGGACCGGGACAAGGCGAACAGAGCAGGGGGGAGCUGGGUCUCUGCACAGCAGAACGUGCCUGAUAGCUGUUGCCGUGGUGCCGGGUGGCAUGACCGUAAACCAGGCUUGGAUAAGUUCAAGAAGUUUUUGCAAGGAACGUCAGGAGAGAAAAUAAUUAACCUCUGGAUGGAUAUUGAGAAAUUGAAAAUUGUACAACACAGAGAGCGGAAGAACAGGUACCUGGUGCUGAUGAGGAGCCGCUAUCUGCUGAGCAGCAGUCGCAGCAGUCUGCAUGCAGAGCUGCUGUCCAGACUGGGCCUAUCUACACCCCCCUGCUGGACAGAAGAGAAACUGCACUCAGUUCAGCCUGUCCUCACUGAGGCUCUUCUCUCUUACUGGUAUUUAACUCUACAGUCUAAACCAGAUCAAAGAUCAAAGUGUUGCCACUAUCCGUGUAGCACUGUGGACCCAGUGGAUAUUGAACCAUCAUUGUAA
This 958-nucleotide long non-coding RNA is filed under the name Betta splendens (Siamese fighting fish). RNAcentral's name for it is "lncRNA (ENSBSLG00000004271.1)". The record is from RNAcentral. Lineage: Eukaryota; Metazoa; Chordata; Actinopteri; Anabantiformes; Osphronemidae.